Long non-coding RNA from Mesocricetus auratus (golden hamster), 722 nucleotides. RefSeq lists it as uncharacterized. The transcript is spliced from 3 exons. NCBI's taxonomy places the organism in Eukaryota, Metazoa, Chordata, Mammalia, Rodentia, Cricetidae. The record is from RefSeq and is a predicted model, not a curated record.
ACUAAGCAUACAUUGACUGGUACUCCAGAUGCCAGUUUGGGAAGGGCAAGAGGCCACAUGGGAGCUUGGUGGAGCAAUGCAGCAGGUAUAGUAGGGGGUGUCGUCGUGACAAAAUAGGCAAAAAGACCCAGGGCUCCUGACCCUGGCUGGCUCCCUAGUGAGCUUCCUGAGGCUGCGACCCCUGUCCUAGGUUAGAGCAGAAACAAGGAGCCCAGGGAAUGAGGAAGAAAGGAAGCAGUGUGAAAUGGUCUUCGUCUGAGAAAUGCUGAUGGUCGGAGGCUGGUUCCAGAACCUUCUUAAGACAGUUACAGUCCUGAAGCAGAGGUUUCCCAGGAUGGGAAGAAAGGUUUUCUUAUCAGCAGCAAGGGAACAAGAUGCAGACAAUGACAUGUGACACAUGAUUCCCUUAAGAAUGAAAAGAAGAAGCAGUCAGUGGUGGCACCCACCUUUAAUUUCAGCACUCACAAGGCAGAGGAAGCAAACCAUGAGAAUGUCUGAAUUUAUAACCCAAGCGUUUGGUGCUACGCAUGCUGGAGUUACUCAUUAAUAAAUACUUCAGGAAGUAUUUACACCAAGGAUGACGAGUCUGCCAUACUUAAUGGAGAGAAAGGCAUUUUACGUUUUCACAGUCCAAGAGUGGGUGAUGCAGUUCAUUAUGUAUUAGAGGUCUCUCAGCUCACAUUUGGUUUGCAAAAUAAUAAAAUGUACCUUUCUCUCUUAAA